AAAAACACAGCAAAUGAAUCAAACGGACCAGGUAGCAGGCAAGAGUGUGGUUAUCGUUGGACCAGGAUUCAGGAUCUGACUGAGUAGCUGACUCUUAAUCCAGUUUGUGUUGAUCACCAGGAGGAUCUGGACCUCAGUAUUACCACAUCUAGAGGUGAUAUGCCAACUCCACCUUUGCCUUCCACCAUGUUUGGAAGCUCCCUGAGGCCUCACCAGGAGCAGAUGCUCGUCCCAUGCUUCCUAUAAGCCUGCAGAACUGUGAGCCAUAAUAAACUGUGAAUUAUAAAUUGCCUUUAUAGCAAUGCAAAUGGACCAGUACAGAUGGGAUGCUGGGAAGACAGUUGUUUCCACCUUCAGUAAAGUCCGUGGAACACAGUUGUGACUAUAUUCUAGGCCAGCCAAGAUGCUUGUACUCAGAAAGGAGUGGUCUCAGGACCAUAAGAAAGUGAAAAAAUAAAAAUAAGAAAAUAAAGAAGGGAUUGUCAAUGAAUCAGAAUUCAUCAAGGUCAAAGUCUUAGGAAAUUCCUUCAUGAGGAAGUCUAGGGGGGCUAUGGAAAUGAAAUUUUUAAACAAAUAGGUAUGUGGUGCUGGCAGGAAUAAAUUAUGGACUUAUGAAUAUAACAUAAGAUUCUUUAUUACCUGGUCUCACCCGUCUUUCCACCUCUGCCCCCCUUCUUGCCCGACUCUGUGUAUCACCCAUAAUAAACUACUUACAGCUUCCUAGUGUUAAAUUUACCCUAA
This is a long non-coding RNA of Homo sapiens (human), 741 nucleotides long. Ensembl annotates it as RASSF8 antisense RNA 1. Its record names the gene RASSF8-AS1. The record is from Ensembl. Lineage: Eukaryota; Metazoa; Chordata; Mammalia; Primates; Hominidae.